ACGCGCGGACUUAAUCCAGCUAGGGUACAACGACUGACGUGUAUUUGGAGAGCCAAUUUUUUUUUUUUUAAACUUAAACUUCUAACAACGCCACUUCUUCAAAAUAGACUCGCCCAGGCCGUGGUAUUUUUGUGGAAGAGCCACACUCUCAAGGGGCCAAAGAGCCGCAGUUUGCCGACCACGGAGCUGCUAGAGCAAAGCCUAGCAGACGUGAAGGGGGGCUCUGUGGGACGUUCCCAACUUGAUAAAAUGGAGUAACUGAGAGACCCUCCCACGAAUCCAACAGUGUCGCCAGGCCCCUACAGGAACCCAGUAACUUUUCCCGCCAACCUGUGCCGGACUUCUCUCCUCAGUCAGUCACCUCUCAGUAUGAGGGCAGGUGAGUCUGCCAGGAGGGGGCAGCCAGGGGCGGCAGGGAGAGACCUGGACUAGGAGCAUUCAGGCCUCAUUCUAGUUCUAUUUUGAUCACCCACCUGCCUGGUGUUGUCAGACAGGCAUUGGUGCCUCUCUGGGGAUAACUGCAGUCUGAGUAUGGAGACCCAGGAGGAAGGGGGAAGUGAGAGCCCCAGAAAUCAACCAAGGCCCAGUUUCUGGGGACGGUGCAAAGACAGAACCACCACCCAGGGUAGGCAUUUUUACCAUUGCCAGACGGGGACAAAGAUCCUGCCAUGAUUGGCUGAUGGGAAAAUAGACUCAUGGAUCUGACACCACCACCAUAAACCAACACUUGAAUAAUUCAACCUAUCAGAGGCCUGGUUCUUGUCCAGAAAAAUUCCAGCCCCAAAGCAAAAGAUUUCUCUGAAGGGAAGCACUCACCCACAAACAGUAAUACUAUCUCCAGAUGCAAGGUCUUAUUUUCCUACCUUACCUCCAGGAAAUUCAGCUGAGAAACCACAGCCUCUAUUUACUUUUUGGAACAGACUUCGGAACGUCUCUCCCCAGAAACUUCUUGGACUGUACAGUUGUAUUAGUCCUGCUAAUGUUUUCCUGAAUAAUUAAAAUAAAGGAAAUGUGAUAUU
Pipistrellus kuhlii (Kuhl's pipistrelle) is the source of this 1019-nucleotide long non-coding RNA. RefSeq lists it as uncharacterized. Lineage: Eukaryota; Metazoa; Chordata; Mammalia; Chiroptera; Vespertilionidae. The record is from RefSeq and is a predicted model, not a curated record. The transcript is spliced from 3 exons.